AGAGUUUGAUCCUGGCUUAGGAUGAACGCUGGCGGCGUGCUUAACACAUGCAAGUCGAACGGAGUUUUAACGGAAGUUUCGGAUGGAAGUUUAGAAACUUAGUGGCGGACGGGUGAGUAACGGCGUGGGUAACCUGCCUCAUACAGGGGGAUAACAGUUAGAAAUGACUGCUAACACCGCAUAAUAUAGCGAAACCGCAUGAUUUUGCUAUCAAAUAUUUAUAGGUAUGAGAUGGGCCCGCGUCUGAUUAGCUAGUUGGUGGGGUAAAGCCUACCAAGGCGACGAUCAGUAGCCGGCUUGAGAGAGUGACCGGCCACAUUGGGACUGAGACACGGCCCAAACUCCUACGGGAGGCAGCAGUGGGGAAUAUUGGACAAUGGGGGAAACCCUGAUCCAGCGAACCGCCGCGUGAGUGAAGAAGUAUUUCGGUAUGUAAAGCUCUAUCAGCAGGGAAGAUAAUGACAGUACCUGACUAAGAAGCCCCGGCUAACUACGUGCCAGCAGCGGC
RNAcentral lists this ribosomal RNA (508 nucleotides) under uncultured bacterium. Its description in RNAcentral is "bacterial SSU rRNA". It matches the Rfam family "Bacterial small subunit ribosomal RNA", at positions 8 to 518 of the family's 1533-position model. The record is from RNAcentral.